This 950-nucleotide ribosomal RNA is filed under the name Finegoldia magna. Its description in RNAcentral is "bacterial SSU rRNA". It matches the Rfam family "Bacterial small subunit ribosomal RNA", at positions 104 to 1074 of the family's 1533-position model. Lineage: Bacteria; Bacillati; Bacillota; Tissierellia; Tissierellales; Peptoniphilaceae. The record is from RNAcentral.
GGGUGAGUAACGCGUGAGCAACCUGCCUAUGACAGUGGGAUAGCCUCGGGAAACCGGGAUUAAUACCGCAUAAAAUCGUAGAAACACAUGUUUUAACGGUCAAAGAUUUAUCGGUCAUAGAUGGGCUCGCGUCUGAUUAGCUAGUUGGUGAGAUAACAGCCCACCAAGGCGACGAUCAGUAGCCGGUCUGAGAGGAUGAACGGCCACAUUGGAACUGAGACACGGUCCAAACUCCUACGGGAGGCAGCAGUGGGGAAUAUUGCACAAUGGGGGAAACCCUGAUGCAGCGACGCCGCGUGAACGAAGAAGGUAUUCGUAUCGUAAAGUUCUGUCCUAUGGGAAGAUAAUGACAGUACCAUAGAAGAAAGCUCCGGCUAAAUACGUGCCAGCAGCCGCGGUAAUACGUAUGGAGCGAGCGUUGUCCGGAAUUAUUGGGCGUAAAGGGUACGCAGGCGGUUUAAUAAGUCGAAUGUUAAAGAUCGGGGCUCAACCCCGUAAAGCAUUGGAAACUGAUAAACUUGAGUAGUGGAGAGGAAAGUGGAAUUCCUAGUGUAGUGGUGAAAUACGUAGAUUUUAGGAGGAAUACCAGUAGCGAAGGCGACUUUCUGGACACAAACUGACGCUGAGGUACGAAAGCGUGGGGAGCAAACAGGAUUAGAUACCCUGGUAGUCCACGCCGUAAACGAUGAAUGCUAGGUGUUGGGGGUCAAACCUCGGUGCCGAAGUUAACACAUUAAGCAUUCCGCCUGGGGAGUACGCACGCAAGUGUGAUACUCACAGGAAUUGACGGGGACCCGCACAAGCAGCGGAGCAUGUGGUUUAAUUCGAUGCAACGCGAAGAACCUUACCAGGGCUUGACAUGUGGGUGAAAGGUAUAGAGAUAUACCCCUCUCUUUAUGAGACAUCCAUACAGGUGGUGCAUGGUUGUCGUCAGCUCGUGUCGUGAGAUG